RNAcentral lists this ribosomal RNA (1021 nucleotides) under Pseudomonas koreensis. RNAcentral describes it as "bacterial SSU rRNA". It matches the Rfam family "Bacterial small subunit ribosomal RNA", at positions 36 to 1049 of the family's 1533-position model. The record is from RNAcentral. Lineage: Bacteria; Pseudomonadati; Pseudomonadota; Gammaproteobacteria; Pseudomonadales; Pseudomonadaceae.
CGUGGGGGGGGGCUAACACAUGCAAGUCGAGCGGAUGAAGGGAGCUUGCUCCUGGAUUCAGCGGCGGACGGGUGAGUAAUGCCUAGGAAUCUGCCUGGUAGUGGGGGACAACGUUUCGAAAGGAACGCUAAUACCGCAUACGUCCUACGGGAGAAAGCAGGGGACCUUCGGGCCUUGCGCUAUCAGAUGAGCCUAGGUCGGAUUAGCUAGUUGGUGAGGUAAUGGCUCACCAAGGCGACGAUCCGUAACUGGUCUGAGAGGAUGAUCAGUCACACUGGAACUGAGACACGGUCCAGACUCCUACGGGAGGCAGCAGUGGGGAAUAUUGGACAAUGGGCGAAAGCCUGAUCCAGCCAUGCCGCGUGUGUGAAGAAGGUCUUCGGAUUGUAAAGCACUUUAAGUUGGGAGGAAGGGUUGUAGAUUAAUACUCUGCAAUUUUGACGUUACCGACAGAAUAAGCACCGGCUAACUCUGUGCCAGCAGCCGCGGUAAUACAGAGGGUGCAAGCGUUAAUCGGAAUUACUGGGCGUAAAGCGCGCGUAGGUGGUUCGUUAAGUUGGAUGUGAAAUCCCCGGGCUCAACCUGGGAACUGCAUCCAAAACUGGCGAGCUAGAGUAUGGUAGAGGGUGGUGGAAUUUCCUGUGUAGCGGUGAAAUGCGUAGAUAUAGGAAGGAACACCAGUGGCGAAGGCGACCACCUGGACUGAUACUGACACUGAGGUGCGAAAGCGUGGGGAGCAAACAGGAUUAGAUACCCUGGUAGUCCACGCCGUAAACGAUGUCAACUAGCCGUUGGGAGCCUUGAGCUCUUAGUGGCGCAGCUAACGCAUUAAGUUGACCGCCUGGGGAGUACGGCCGCAAGGUUAAAACUCAAAUGAAUUGACGGGGGGCCCGCACAAGCGGUGGAGCAUGUGGUUUUAAUUCGAAGCAACGCGAAGAACCUUUACCAGCCUUGACAUCCAAAUGAACUUUCCAGAGAUGGAUUGGUUGCCUUCGGAACAUUGAGACAGGUGCUGCAUGGC